GAUGAACGCUGGCGGCGUGCCUAAUACAUGCAAGUCGAGCGAACAGACGAGGCGCUUGCUCCUCUGACGUUAGCGGCGGACGGGUGUGUAACACGUGGAUAACCUACCUAUAAGACUGGGAUAACUUCGGGAAACCGGAGCUAAUACCGUAUAAUCUAUUGCACCGCAGGGUUCAAUAGUGAAAGACGGUUUUGCUGUCACUUAUAGAUGGUUCCGCGCCGCAUUAGCUAGUUGGUAAGUUAACAGCCUACCAAGGCAACGAUGCGUAGACGAGCGGAGAGAGUGAUAGGCCACACUGGAACUGAGACAGGCUCCAGACUCCUACGGGACGCAGCAGUAGGGAAUCGUCCGCAGUGGGCGAAAGCUUGACGGAGCGACGCCGCGUGAGUGAUGAAGGUCUUCGGUUCGUAAAACUCUGUUAUUAGGGAAGAACAAAUGUGUAAGUAACCAUACACGUCUUGACGGUACCUAAUCAGAAAGCCACGGCUAACUACGUG
RNAcentral lists this ribosomal RNA (497 nucleotides) under uncultured bacterium. RNAcentral describes it as "partial 16S ribosomal RNA". It matches the Rfam family "Bacterial small subunit ribosomal RNA", at positions 28 to 507 of the family's 1533-position model. The record is from RNAcentral.